GAUGAACGCUAGCGGCAGGCCUAACACAUGCAAGUCGAGGGGUAGGGUUAGCUUGCUAACUUGAGACCGGCGCACGGGUGCGUAACGCGUAUGCAAUCUACCUUGUACAGGGGGAUAGCCCAGAGAAAUUUGGAUUAAUACCCCAUGGUGUUAUGAUGUGGCAUCACAUUAUAACUAAAGUUCCAACGGUACAAGAUGAGCAUGCGUCCCAUUAGCUAGUUGGUGUGGUAACGGCAUACCAAGGCAAUGAUGGGUAGGGGUCCUGAGAGGGAGAUCCCCCCCACUGGUACUGAGACACGGACCAGACUCCUACGGGAGGCAGCAGUGAGGAAUAUUGGUCAAUGGGCGCAAGCCUGAACCAGCCAUGCCGCGUGCAGGAUGACGGUCCUAUGGAUUGUAAACUGCUUUUAUACGGGAAGAAACACUCCUACGUGUAGGAACUUGACGGUACCGUAAGAAUAAGGAUCGGCUAAAUUCGUGCCAGCCGCCGCAGUAA
RNAcentral lists this ribosomal RNA (496 nucleotides) under uncultured bacterium. RNAcentral describes it as "partial 16S ribosomal RNA". It matches the Rfam family "Bacterial small subunit ribosomal RNA", at positions 28 to 523 of the family's 1533-position model. The record is from RNAcentral.